CCUUCGAUAGCUCAGCUGGUAGAGCGGAGGACUGUAGGCUUCCUUGCACGGCCAUCCUUAGGUCGCUGGUUCAACUCCGGCUCGAAGGA
Non-coding RNA from Acanthisitta chloris (rifleman), 89 nucleotides. Lineage: Eukaryota; Metazoa; Chordata; Aves; Passeriformes; Acanthisittidae. The record is from Rfam.